Molecule: ribosomal RNA, 1168 nt
Filed under: Bacillus inaquosorum
Lineage: Bacteria; Bacillati; Bacillota; Bacilli; Caryophanales; Bacillaceae
Description: partial 16S ribosomal RNA
Rfam family: Bacterial small subunit ribosomal RNA
Source: RNAcentral
GGAUAACUCCGGGAAACCGGGGCUAAUACCGGAUGCUUGUUUGAACCGCAUGGUUCAAAUAUAAAAGGUGGCUUCGGCUACCACUUACAGAUGGACCCGCGGCGCAUUAGCUAGUUGGUGAGGUAACGGCUCACCAAGGCAACGAUGCGUAGCCGACCUGAGAGGGUGAUCGGCCACACUGGGACUGAGACACGGCCCAGACUCCUACGGGAGGCAGCAGUAGGGAAUCUUCCGCAAUGGACGAAAGUCUGACGGAGCAACGCCGCGUGAGUGAUGAAGGUUUUCGGAUCGUAAAGCUCUGUUGUUAGGGAAGAACAAGUACCGUUCGAAUAGGGCGGUACCUUGACGGUACCUAACCAGAAAGCCACGGCUAACUACGUGCCAGCAGCCGCGGUAAUACGUAGGUGGCAAGCGUUGUCCGGAAUUAUUGGGCGUAAAGGGCUCGCAGGCGGUUUCUUAAGUCUGAUGUGAAAGCCCCCGGCUCAACCGGGGAGGGUCAUUGGAAACUGGGGAACUUGAGUGCAGAAGAGGAGAGUGGAAUUCCACGUGUAGCGGUGAAAUGCGUAGAGAUGUGGAGGAACACCAGUGGCGAAGGCGACUCUCUGGUCUGUAACUGACGCUGAGGAGCGAAAGCGUGGGGAGCGAACAGGAUUAGAUACCCUGGUAGUCCACGCCGUAAACGAUGAGUGCUAAGUGUUAGGGGGUUUCCGCCCCUUAGUGCUGCAGCUAACGCAUUAAGCACUCCGCCUGGGGAGUACGGUCGCAAGACUGAAACUCAAAGGAAUUGACGGGGGCCCGCACAAGCGGUGGAGCAUGUGGUUUAAUUCGAAGCAACGCGAAGAACCUUACCAGGUCUUGACAUCCUCUGACAAUCCUAGAGAUAGGACGUCCCCUUCGGGGGCAGAGUGACAGGUGGUGCAUGGUUGUCGUCAGCUCGUGUCGUGAGAUGUUGGGUUAAGUCCCGCAACGAGCGCAACCCUUGAUCUUAGUUGCCAGCAUUCAGUUGGGCACUCUAAGGUGACUGCCGGUGACAAACCGGAGGAAGGUGGGGAUGACGUCAAAUCAUCAUGCCCCUUAUGACCUGGGCUACACACGUGCUACAAUGGACAGAACAAAGGGCAGCGAAACCGCGAGGUUAAGCCAAUCCCACAAAUCUGUUCUCAGUUCG